This 2367-nucleotide ribosomal RNA is filed under the name Salmonella enterica subsp. enterica. Its description in RNAcentral is "partial 23S ribosomal RNA". It matches the Rfam family "Bacterial large subunit ribosomal RNA", at positions 583 to 2925 of the family's 2925-position model. Lineage: Bacteria; Pseudomonadati; Pseudomonadota; Gammaproteobacteria; Enterobacterales; Enterobacteriaceae. The record is from RNAcentral.
CCUUUGGGGUGUGACUGCGUACCUUUUGUAUAAUGGGUCAGCGACUUAUAUUCUGUAGCAAGGUUAACCGUAUAGGGGAGCCGGAGGGAAACCGAGUCUUAACCGGGCGUUAAGUUGCAGGGUAUAGACCCGAAACCCGGUGAUCUAGCCAUGGGCAGGUUGAAGGUUGGGUAACACUAACUGGAGGACCGAACCGACUAAUGUUGAAAAAUUAGCGGAUGACCUGUGGCUGGGGGUGAAAGGCCAAUCAAACCGGGAGAUAGCUGGUUCUCCCCGAAAGCUAUUUAGGUAGCGCCUCGUGAAUUCAUCUCCGGGGGUAGAGCACUGUUUCGGCUAGGGGGCCAUCCCGGCUUACCAACCCGAUGCAAACUGCGAAUACCGGAGAAUGUUAUCACGGGAGACACACGGCGGGUGCUAACGUCCGUCGUGAAGAGGGAAACAACCCAGACCGCCAGCUAAGGUCCCAAAGUCAUGGUUAAGUGGGAAACGAUGUGGGAAGGCCCAGACAGCCAGGAUGUUGGCUUAGAAGCAGCCAUCAUUUAAAGAAAGCGUAAUAGCUCACUGGUCGAGUCGGCCUGCGCGGAAGAUGUAACGGGGCUAAACCAUGCACCGAAGCUGCGGCAGCGACGCUGAUGCGUUGUUGGGUAGGGGAGCGUUCUGUAAGCCUGCGAAGGUGGCCUGUGAGGGUUGCUGGAGGUAUCAGAAGUGCGAAUGCUGACAUAAGUAACGAUAAAGCGGGUGAAAAGCCCGCUCGCCGGAAGACCAAGGGUUCCUGUCCAACGUUAAUCGGGGCAGGGUGAGUCGACCCCUAAGGCGAGGCCGAAAGGCGUAGUCGAUGGGAAACGGGUUAAUAUUCCCGUACUUGGUGUUACUGCGAAGGGGGGACGGAGAAGGCUAUGUUGGCCGGGCGACGGUUGUCCCGGUUUAAGCGUGUAGGUGUGUGUUCCAGGUAAAUCCGGUUCACUUUAACACUGAGGCGUGAUGACGAGGCACUACGGUGCUGAAGCAACAAAUGCCCUGCUUCCAGGAAAAGCCUCUAAGCAUCAGGUAACAUCAAAUCGUACCCCAAACCGACACAGGUGGUCAGGUAGAGAAUACCAAGGCGCUUGAGAGAACUCGGGUGAAGGAACUAGGCAAAAUGGUGCCGUAACUUCGGGAGAAGGCACGCUGACACGUAGGUGAAGUGAUUUACUCAUGGAGCUGAAGUCAGUCGAAGAUACCAGCUGGCUGCAACUGUUUAUUAAAAACACAGCACUGUGCAAACACGAAAGUGGACGUAUACGGUGUGACGCCUGCCCGGUGCCGGAAGGUUAAUUGAUGGGGUCAGCGCAAGCGAAGCUCCUGAUCGAAGCCCCGGUAAACGGCGGCCGUAACUAUAACGGUCCUAAGGUAGCGAAAUUCCUUGUCGGGUAAGUUCCGACCUGCACGAAUGGCGUAAUGAUGGCCAGGCUGUCUCCACCCGAGACUCAGUGAAAUUGAACUCGCUGUGAAGAUGCAGUGUACCCGCGGCAAGACGGAAAGACCCCGUGAACCUUUACUAUAGCUUGACACUGAACAUUGAGCCUUGAUGUGUAGGAUAGGUGGGAGGCUUUGAAGUGUGGACGCCAGUCUGCAUGGAGCCGACCUUGAAAUACCACCCUUUAAUGUUUGAUGUUCUAACGUGGACCCGUGAUCCGGGUUGCGGACAGUGUCUGGUGGGUAGUUUGACUGGGGCGGUCUCCUCCUAAAGAGUAACGGAGGAGCACGAAGGUUGGCUAAUCCUGGUCGGACAUCAGGAGGUUAGUGCAAUGGCAUAAGCCAGCUUGACUGCGAGCGUGACGGCGCGAGCAGGUGCGAAAGCAGGUCAUAGUGAUCCGGUGGUUCUGAAUGGAAGGGCCAUCGCUCAACGGAUAAAAGGUACUCCGGGGAUAACAGGCUGAUACCGCCCAAGAGUUCAUAUCGACGGCGGUGUUUGGCACCUCGAUGUCGGCUCAUCACAUCCUGGGGCUGAAGUAGGUCCCAAGGGUAUGGCUGUUCGCCAUUUAAAGUGGUACGCGAGCUGGGUUUAGAACGUCGUGAGACAGUUCGGUCCCUAUCUGCCGUGGGCGCUGGAGAACUGAGGGGGGCUGCUCCUAGUACGAGAGGACCGGAGUGGACGCAUCACUGGUGUUCGGGUUGUCAUGCCAAUGGCACUGCCCGGUAGCUAAAUGCGGAAGAGAUAAGUGCUGAAAGCAUCUAAGCACGAAACUUGCCCCGAGAUGAGUUCUCCCUGAGACUUUAGGUCUCCUGAAGGAACGUUGAAGACGACGACGUUGAUAGGCCGGGUGUGUAAGCGCAGCGAUGCGUUGAGCUAACCGGUACUAAUGAACCGUGAGGCUUAACCUUACA